This 691-nucleotide ribosomal RNA is filed under the name Massilia sp. RNAcentral describes it as "bacterial SSU rRNA". It matches the Rfam family "Bacterial small subunit ribosomal RNA", at positions 366 to 1049 of the family's 1533-position model. The record is from RNAcentral. Lineage: Bacteria; Pseudomonadati; Pseudomonadota; Betaproteobacteria; Burkholderiales; Oxalobacteraceae.
GGACAAUGGGCGCAAGCUGAUCCAGCAAUGCCGCGUGAGUGAAGAAGGCUUUCGGGUUGUAAAGCUCUUUGUCAGGGAAGAAACGGUAGAGGCUAAUAUCCUUGCUAAUGACGGUACCUGAAGAAUAAGCACCGGCUAACUACGUGCCAGCAGCCGCGGUAAUACGUAGGGUGCAAGCGUUAAUCGGAAUUACUGGGCGUAAAGCGUGCGCAGGCGGUUUUGUAAGUCUGUCGUGAAAGCCCCGGGCUCAACCUGGGAAUUGCGAUGGAGACUGCAAGGCUUGAAUCUGGCAGAGGGGGGUAGAAUUCCACGUGUAGCAGUGAAAUGCGUAGAGAUGUGGAGGAACACCGAUGGCGAAGGCAGCCCCCUGGGUCAAGAUUGACGCUCAUGCACGAAAGCGUGGGGAGCAAACAGGAUUAGAUACCCUGGUAGUCCACGCCCUAAACGAUGUCUACUAGUUGUCGGGUUUUAAUUAACUUGGUAACGCAGCUAACGCGUGAAGUAGACCGCCUGGGGAGUACGGUCGCAAGAUUAAAACUCAAAGGAAUUGACGGGGACCCGCACAAGCGGUGGAUGAUGUGGAUUAAUUCGAUGCAACGCGAAAAACCUUACCUACCCUUGACAUGUCAGGAAGGCCGGAGAGAUCUGGCUGUGCCCGAAAGGGAACCUGAACACAAGGUGCUGCAAUGGC